UACGUAGGGGGCAAGCGUUAUCCGGAUUUACUGGGUGUAAAGGGAGCGCAGACGGCAGGGCAAGUCUGGAGUGUAAGGCAGGGGCCCAACCCCUGGACUGCUCUGGAAACUGUCCGGCUGGAGUGCAGGAGAGGUAAGUGGAAUUCCUAGUGUAGCGGUGAAAUGCGUAGAUAUUAGGAGGAACACCAGUGGCGAAGGCGGCUUACUGGACUGUAACUGACGUUGAGGCUCGAAAGCGUGGGGAGCAAACAGG
This 253-nucleotide ribosomal RNA is filed under the name uncultured bacterium. RNAcentral's name for it is "partial 16S ribosomal RNA". It matches the Rfam family "Bacterial small subunit ribosomal RNA", at positions 524 to 776 of the family's 1533-position model. The record is from RNAcentral.